Molecule: ribosomal RNA, 2675 nt
Filed under: Berkelbacteria bacterium GW2011_GWA2_35_9
Lineage: Bacteria; Candidatus Berkelbacteria
Description: bacterial LSU rRNA
Rfam family: Bacterial large subunit ribosomal RNA
Source: RNAcentral
CCGUUGAAGGUUUAUUUCAAAAUUAGGUCUUAAAGUCAUUUUUUGAUUUUUGAGAUUUGAUUUUUGAUUUUACGCCUUCGGCGUGUGUGAUUCCCAGAGUAGUGGCGAGCGAAAUGGGAAAAGUUCUGAUUGUGAGAAAUUUAAUUUGUUAGUUGAAUGAAUCUGGAAAGGACGACCAUAGAGGGUGAUAGUCCCGUAAACAAAAAUUUAUUAAAUUAUCAAACAAUUGUUCUAAUUUGAUUUAUCAUUUUAGGGCUGAGUACUGUCGGACACGUGAAACCCGGCAGGAAUAAACGAGGAUCAUCUCGUAAGACUAAAUACAUCUUCUAACCGAUAGUGAACUAGUACCGUGAGGGAAAGGUGAAAAGUACCCCGCAACGGGGAGUGAAAUAGAACCUGAAACCAUAUGCUUACAAGGAGAUAGAGUCCCGCCUCGGCGGGAUGAUAUCGUGCCUUUUGAAGAAUGAGCCAACGAGUUGUCGAUUAUUGCAAGCUUAACCCCGCUCAGCGGGGGUAGGCGUAGCGAAAGCGAGUACUAACUGUGCGCCAUACAAGUAAUAAUCGGCAGACCCGAAACCGGGUGAUCUACCCAUGAGCAGGAUGAAUCCACUGUAAAAGGUGUGAGGAGGUCCGAACCUACCAGUGCUGUAAAGCUGGGGGAUGACUUGUGGGUAGGGGUAAAAUGCCAAUCGAACCCGGAGAUAGCUGGUUCUCCUCGAAAUAUAUUUAGGUAUAGCGCCCAUCGAAAGCUGGCAGGUAGAGCACUGGUUUGUGUUCGGCGGCGAAAGCUGUCGGCACGAGUCAAACUCCGAAUAGUCAGUGUUAUUUGAUGAGGCAGUCAGUCCGUGAGGGCUAAGCUUCAUGUGACGAGAGGGAAACAACCCAGAUCGCCAUCUAAGGUCCCUAAAUCUAGCUAAGUGGGAAAGGAAGUUAAUUUCCCCAGACAACCAGGAGGUUGGCUUAGAAGCAGCCACCCUUUAAAGAGUGCGUAACAGCUCACUGGUCGACUGGAAAUUAGCGCCGAAAAUUUAACGGGGCUAAGCUAGAUACCGAAGAUGCGAAUCCCGCCUUUGGCGGGAUGGUAGAGGAGCGUCCCAACGACGUUGAAGCGGAAACGUGAGUAACCGUGGAGUACAUUGGGAGUGAGAAUGUUGGCAUGAGUAACGAAUUAGUCAGAUGAGAAUUCUGACCACCAAAUAUCUAAGGUUUCCCCCGCAACGAUCAUCGACGGGGGGUUAGUCGGGAGCUAAGGCAUAUAAAGUGUCGAUGCACAACAGGUUGAUAUUCCUGUACCGAUCUAAAUUUGGUUUGUAGUGACGCAUUGUCAAGCUUGAUAGCAGUUUUGGAUAUAUUGUUAUUAGGGGAGAUGGUGACAAGAAAAACUAUAAAUCGUUAAGUUUAGAUUGUCCGUACCGUAAACCAACUCAGGUAGAUGGGGCGAGAAGCCCAAGGUGAUCGAAAGAACCCUUCCUAAGGAACUCGGCAAAAAAGCGAUCGUAACUUAGGGAUAAGGUCUACCCGAUGUAAAAAUCGGGUCGCAGCGAAAGUUUUUCAGGCGACUGUUUAUCAAAAACUUAGGUCCGUGCAUAAUGCUUAGUGCUGAAGUAUACGGGCUGAUGCCUGCCCAGUGCCGGUAGGUUACGGGGAGGAGUGAUAUUUGACGCAAGUCAGAUUGAGCUUCGAACUUAAGCCCCGGUAAACGGCAGCGGUAACUAUAACCGUUCUAUGGUAGCGAAAUUCCUUGUCGGGUAAAAAAUGGAAUUUGCCCGAAUAGUGUCGUGAGACGCUAUGAGUAAUCUGGCUAAUAACGGGGAAACCCUGAACAGGUAAUCCCGUGGGAAGUCUCCCGCCUUUGGUGGGAUGACCCCGUAACGACUGAGUCGAAAGACGAGAUCCCACUUUAAUGGGAUAAUACGCCAGCUCUUAUUAAUAAACAGUAUGCUACGAAGCUCAAGAAAGGAGUAUAAGUGGAAAUAGAGUCUUAUAUUACUGGUUUGACUGAGGGAGAAGGUUGUUUCUGUGUGUCAUUUAAUCAGAGAAAAAGAUUAAAUACUGGCAUAGAAGUACGACCAAGUUUUUCAAUAAGUCAAAACAAAAAAAAUCUUAAUUUAAUGAAGAAAAUCCAAUCUUUUUUUAUAUGUGGAAGUAUCCGUUUUUCGAAACGAGACAAUACUUAUAAAUAUGAAGUUAGAAGCAUUGAUGAUUUGAUCAAUGUCAUAAUUCCUCAUUUUAUAAAGUACCCACUAAUUGGAAUUAAAGCGACAGAUUUUCAAAAAUUUGCUGAAAUAUGUAAAAUGAUUAGAUCAAAUUUACAUCGAAGUAAGAGUAGGCUAGAAGAGUUAAUUGAUUUAGCUUAUGAGAUUAAUUUAGGUAAAAGACGAUACAAAAAAGAUGAGCUUCUAAGGCAUAUAAUAAGAUGAAGAGAUAGUCUGAUUAUUUAUUUUGAUAAAUAAAUGAAGUUCCGACCCGCACGAAUGGCAUAACGGUCUGAAAACUGUCUCGGGAAGGGGUUCGGUGAAAUUACACUACCGGUAAAGAUGCCGGUUACCCGCAGCAAGACGGAAAGACCCCGUGGAGCUUUACUAUAACCUGGUAUUGUUUUAUUUUAUUUUCUGCUGAGGAUAGGUGGGAGGGACGUGCUUCGCACGGAAAUCCUAAUUUCUAAUUUCUAAUUU